This is a long non-coding RNA of Phyllostomus discolor (pale spear-nosed bat), 1260 nucleotides long. RefSeq lists it as uncharacterized. The transcript has 3 exons. Lineage: Eukaryota; Metazoa; Chordata; Mammalia; Chiroptera; Phyllostomidae. The record is from RefSeq and is a predicted model, not a curated record.
GAAAGUUCACCGACAUAAUAUUUUAACAUUGUAGCUCAUAAGCUUGAAAGGGUCCUCACCAAAGGCCCGCAGAGCAAAUCUGGAAAAUACUGGCACACACUGCCUCCUGGCCGGCCUUCUCCUCUAUCCUGUACCUCCUUUUACCCCUCCCUGAGCCCUAAUCCUAUUCAAAGCCACAGAAAAUUGGAUUAAAGGAAACAGCCAGCAAAGAAAUCCUUUCUAACCUUCAUUUUAACACUGGGCACUUUCUGAACACAGCAUCUAAUCUUUAUUUAGCACUGUAUGCAUGGCUCCUUCCACAGGAGGAUUUAUCCUCUCAGGAAAUGAACAACAAAAAGCUGAACAAGGGGAAAAAAGAAUGUAAGUAGGUAAAGGUGUUAUUCAAGCUUACAGGCUACAUGAAAAACAACCAAGCCGCCACAGUGACAUCAGGAGGUGGAGGCAGCGAGCCACUAAGAUUUCAGCCUAAAAGGUCUCCAGCCUUCCAAUUUGAGUUGUGCAGAGAAGUUGGCCUGGUUUAUCCUCAUUCUUGUGUUUAACUUGCAGCCUUCCCAGGAAAAAAAUCAUCCUUACUAUGGCAGAAUAAUGAAAGAAUUCAAGACUCGAACCAGAUAAGAGGUUAAAGUGGAAAAACUGGCUUUAUUCAGCAGAGAGGACAAGCAAGAAAAGCCACUCCGUGGACAGAGUAGCGACUCUUCUCAUGGGAGAAGGAAGAGACAUCAACCAUCUCUAGAGGCUGAGCUUUUAUCUGUAGUUUCUAUGGAAAAUUGCUGGUGUGGGGUAAAGAAUGGGGAAAAAGUUGGGAUUAACUUUAACCUUUACAAGGUAUAUUUUGUGGCCUUGUGUUUUUCCAUGAUGUGGGUAAACAAUAAGAGAUGAGGGAGUAGCUAUGAAUCAAACUUUGCAGGAAUUUUCUUUGUCCGGAGGCCCUUUGUGGUCUGCCUUUAUCUCCAGUCAGCCAAGGUCUGUGUCAGGCGGCACGCAGCAGGCCCUGACUUAACUCUGUGUGACUUUAGAUAAUUUGUAUAGUUCUCAUACCUCUCUCCUAUAUUUGUGCUAGAUCAUAGUGCACUAUGAUUUUCUAUAUUUUCUAUAUUGAUGAAAAAUGUGCUCAAAAGCAUAUUAAACUAUGGCAUCAUGAUUCAUCUGGCUGAUUUCUCUACUCUUCAAAAUUUGAUCACCUUUUGACAUGAACACAUAUCAAAUGUAUUCUGGAAAGUUGGAAGGCAUAUGCAUUCAAUGAGGGUAAAUUUAUUUGUU